GUUCAAGCCAUCGAUAGACAAAACCACGAAAUAAGAGACGUAACGAUACACAUGCAAAAAAAGAAGCCGGAACCUCACUCGCGAUGGUAGCCUGUAAUUACACACGCCUCCUCCCUUCCCAAGACCGGAACCAUCCUCACUAUUCUCAUCGCCUUCGCAAUAGGUCCCCGCAUCCAAGAUCUACGCCUCACGGGAGGGAGAGGAC
RNAcentral lists this unclassified non-coding RNA (205 nucleotides) under Hevea brasiliensis (rubber tree). Lineage: Eukaryota; Viridiplantae; Streptophyta; Magnoliopsida; Malpighiales; Euphorbiaceae. The record is from RNAcentral.